GAUGUUUCACACUGGUUGCAGCGAUGGAAAAUAACUAUACUGCACCUCAGUACAAUUUCAAGCGAUUGUACUUGAGCAUUUGUCUUUUUUACCACUUUCUACUUCUAUGCUUUAAAUUUAGCAGCUGUAGUUUUAUUUAUAUACAACAUUUAUGAUCCAUUUUUUAAACAUGAUGCCUCAUUAGAGAUUAUAGUGUCUUCAGGUAAGUCGCUGAUGACAGUUGCUGCAGGUGAAGCUCUGCUGGGAUCAAUGUGAGCUCAUCAUGACCUCACAGGAACAAAAAAGUUGUAAAUUGCACAUCAUAACUCGUGUUUAAAUAAUCAUCUUGUGUCUGUCAGGACCUUGAACGCCCUGAGGACAACUUUUACUGUGAUAGAUUAGGAACAUGUUCCAGAGAAACAAACAGUCAUCCAUUCAAACACAUUAAUUGAACAGAUGACUGUUUGUUCCUCUGGCGUCAUCACAUCCUUCACCGUCAGAGACAUGAGACGCUACAGAUGUUAAAGGACCAGUCCUGUGUUUACAUAUAAAAGCUUCGAGUCGUUUGUUCGUCAGCUGCAGUGACGCUUCAAGCUGUGAGUGUAAAAAAAUACAACUAAAACAUAAACACACAUCAUUCACACACUCUGACCCCGUUCACACCUGACUCUAAUUCAGGGGUGUCAAACUGAUCCAGUAAAGGGCCAUGUGGCUGCAGGUUUUCAUUCCAACCAAGCAAGAACACACCUGAUCCAAAUUUGGUUGGCUGAUCCAAAUCAGGUGUGUUCUUGCUUGGUUGGAAUGAAAACCUGCAGCCACAUGGCCCUUUACUGGAUCAGUUUGACACCACUGCUCUAAUCCACUGAUCAUGAAAAACAAUAAUCAGCUGUGUUUGAUGAUUCUCCCCGCAGCCUCCAGGUGGUGCUGCUGAGCCCAGUGCAUGCUGGGAAGUCCUCCUGCUCUGUCAGGUGUAAAUGGGGCCUCUGAACUGAAAGAAGUGGCGUCCAGCUUCACUUUGUGUCCCUGCUCAUCAUUCUCUAAUCAA
Acanthopagrus latus (yellowfin seabream) is the source of this 1024-nucleotide long non-coding RNA. RefSeq lists it as uncharacterized. The transcript is spliced from 2 exons. Lineage: Eukaryota; Metazoa; Chordata; Actinopteri; Spariformes; Sparidae. The record is from RefSeq and is a predicted model, not a curated record.